CAGUCGCCGCGGGAAUACGUAGGUGGCAAGCGUUGUCCGGAAUUAUUGGGCGUAAAGCGCGCGCAGGCGGAUUGGUCAGUCUGUCUUAAAAGUUCGGGGCUUAACCCCGUGAUGGGAUGGAAACUGCCAAUCUAGAGUAUCGGAGAGGAAAGUGGAAUUCCUAGUGUAGCGGUGAAAUGCGUAGAUAUUAGGAAGAACACCAGUGGCGAAGGCGACUUUCUGGACGAAAACUGACGCUGAGGCGCGAAAGCCAGGGGAGCGAACGGGAUUAGAUACCCCGUAGUCCCUGUCUCUUAUACAC
Molecule: ribosomal RNA, 301 nt
Filed under: uncultured bacterium
Lineage: Bacteria
Description: partial 16S ribosomal RNA
Rfam family: Bacterial small subunit ribosomal RNA
Source: RNAcentral